GUACACUCCUGCGGGAGGCAGCAGUGGGGAAUUUUGGACAAUGGGCGAAAGCCUGAUCCAGCAAUGCCGCGUGAGUGAAGAAGGCCUUCGGGUUGUAAAGCACUUUUGUCAGGGAAGAAACGGUGAAAGCUAAUAUCUUUUGCUAAUGACGGUACCUGAAGAAUAAGCACCGGCUAACUACGUGCCAGCAGCCGCGGUAAUACGUAGGGUGCAAGCGUUAAUCGGAAUUACUGGGCGUAAAGCGUGCGCAGGCGGUUUUGUAGGUCUGAUGUGAAAUCCCCGGGCUCAACCUGGGAAUUGCAUUGGAGACUGAAAGGCUAGAAUCUGGCAGAGGGGGGUAGAAUUCCAAGUGUAGCAGUGAAAUGCGUAGAUAUGUGGAGGAACACCGAUGGCGAAGGCAGCCCCCUGGGUCAAGAUUGACGCUCAUGCACGAAAGCGUGGGGAGCAAACAGGAUUAGAAACCCGAGUAGUCC
Molecule: ribosomal RNA, 473 nt
Filed under: uncultured organism
Description: partial 16S ribosomal RNA
Rfam family: Bacterial small subunit ribosomal RNA
Source: RNAcentral